UCUCCUCCUCCCCGCGUCUCUCUCCCUCUUCUCUGCAACUCUGGCCACCUCACGAUUCCGGCCACCUGGGGACGAAUGAGUGGCACCGUUGGACUCCUCUACUCCUACCCAACCUCCCCACGACGGUAACUCACGGCGGCUUGGCCGGAAAACGACGCAUCGGGUCCUUGAAGUUUCACUGUAGCAGAAGUGGUCAACGCCGAUAUUUUCCGAUUUCAGCUGUCUCCGGCCACCAAACCGGCGUCGAAGGUUCGGUUUUUGCCAAGGAUCCUUUUGCCCCUAGCCUUGAGCCACGAUUUGCAACGUGGAGGAAGAAUCGAAGAGAUGAAAUUCUGGGUUACUAUUCACCGAUCGGGUUCAACUUCUCCUUAAUUGUUGAGGGCAAUGUCGCGAGCUACGGCUAGAUGAAGGAACUCGUUUGCGUGGUCGCCCAAUAGUACUUGUGCAGGUUUUGAGCAUGUGGUCGGGUAGCGUACAGAGGAGGCACGUGGCCCGGCUUGGCGCAUUCUUCUUUAAUUUUAUCAAAAGAAGGUUUUGGUCCUUUAUUGGAUUUUGAAGUAACUUGUUUAUUUACUUUUGAUUUAUUUCCUACUUGUUUACCAAAACUUCGAGAGGCCCGUAACCCUGGGGCGCUUCUCUCGCACUUGUUGAUAUUUAGUGAUUUGUUUUCCAAAUUGGGCUCCGAUUGUAAGCCCAAAACUUUUAGCCCAUUUCAAAUUCCGCUUUUGAAAAUGUAUUGUUUGGUUGCUAGAGCGACUUG
This is a long non-coding RNA of Rosa chinensis, 760 nucleotides long. RefSeq lists it as uncharacterized. The transcript has 3 exons. The record is from RefSeq and is a predicted model, not a curated record. NCBI's taxonomy places the organism in Eukaryota, Viridiplantae, Streptophyta, Magnoliopsida, Rosales, Rosaceae.